Paramuricea clavata is the source of this 2377-nucleotide non-coding RNA. The record is from the annotation of a GenBank genome assembly. Lineage: Eukaryota; Metazoa; Cnidaria; Anthozoa; Malacalcyonacea; Plexauridae.
GUGCAAAAGUACAGAAGCCCAGAGGCGACAGCAUAAAACCACUUUUAAAAAAAAAAACAAAAUAUAAAAUACAAAAUAUAAAACACAAAAAUACAAAAUAUAAAACACAAAAAUACAAAAUAUAAAACACAAAAUACAAAAGUAAUUUUAUGCUGUCGCCUCUGGGCUUCUGUACAAAAGGCAGGAAUACAAAUCUUAAACCGCAAGCAAAUUUUAUGGACUUUUUAAAAAAAUAAAAGACCUUUUCGGGAGACGUAAUGGAGAUCGAUGCACGUGCAAAUCAUGCCGACCUACAGAAUCGAUUUCCGGUUUUUCCAAACAGCGCGUUGUUUUCAUGUGCGUUCCAUGGGCCGCGCUAAAAAUAUAAAUAUUCUGUAAAUACCGAAAUAAAAGAUGAAAAUCUCAAGACACAGGCUUGAAAAUAACACUAUAAAUAGUGUUUUCGAUUCUGGUUCCAAUAACAUUAUCACGAAAAAGAUAUGUCCAAAGGGGCCGAAGUUAUGUUCGGCAAAAUGUAUGGCUAGUUUACAUUGUUGUAUUAUGAAAUAUGAUACCAUACUUGUAUUAAAAUUCGCGUCGAACUAAUGUUAUUGUAAAUGAGUAGACUUGCCACAAGUCGACCUCGAACGAAAUGCGUUUCUUCGAGGUCGACUUGUGGCAAGUCUAGCAAAUGAGAACCAUACAAAUGAUACAAUAAUGGUUCUAGUUCUUGUUGGUAUUUUGAACGCACGCUUUAUCUUUAGUAUAGCUACCACAAAGCUUUUCGCGCGGAUUAUAUUUCGUGGAGUACUAAGUAUUAUAUUUUGUGGUUUUCGAGUCAUUACACAAAGAAAAACACAUUAAUUCAACACACAAGAAAGUCCAGAGUAUGACACAACGUAAAAUACAUAGGAAACCGGCACAAUUCUUUGAAAAUUCAACGAAACUGUGUAAAAUAUAGUUUGAUCACUCUGUGAAAAGCCGCCAUUGCAGUUCGGAAUUGUGCGCGUGCGUACAAGUGUAUAUAUAGGCUAAUAAACGAAAAAUGUACCACAAGCAUGGCAUGAGUCGGCUAUUACGUACAUAUAUGCGAGCUUAUUACUAUACUAUCUAAAUCACGGAACCGAGGGAAUCCAUGGGAUUUUGGCUUAAUCGUUGCACCCUGAGCCUGCGAUUAGCUAACGCAAACUCGAUUUCUCGACUACGAAAAAAAAACAGAAAAAGGGGGAUUUAAGACACUUGGCCUUACAGGCCAGUGUAAUUAAACGGCACAUCAACCACGUCAUUUCAAAGCGUAGUGAAGUGAUUCCAAUUGAUCACGGCACUUUUGUAUAUAAAAAGAGCGUGUGAAUUAAACAAGUCACAUAUUAUUAGCACUGAUGAAGAUUGGAUAAGACGCGACUUAAAUAAGAACAGGACUUUUAUAGCUGUUCUUAUUUAAGUCGCGUCUUAAAUAUGAAAUUUUGGACAAAAAUUCUAACUACACAUGCCCGAAACCUGAAACAACGUAAAAUUAUUAGCCUUGCAUAUUAAAACAAAAACAACCGAAACAACAUUAUAGCUAUAGCAAGUAAAUAAGAAUAAAGCCGUAUAAACCAUUUAUGCGAUAACUCCGCUUAUUUAAGUCGCGUCUUAUUUUGUCUCGUAUAAAUGGCCCUAUUUUGGUACCGGGAAUUUUAAAGCGUUGAGUUAUCACGACAGAUAAAGUAUAGAACACAUUAAUCGUCACCGAAAAUGUGCGGUAUACUAAACGGCAGCUGAGUUAAAAUUCCGACUAAAACAUGACUCGGGCGAUGCUAAUAAACAAAUAGCUUACAUGUUUAUUGUAAAAAUUAUGAAAUAUCUGAUUUAUACGAGUUUAUCUUACAAUUCCCCCGACUUCCAAUACAAGGCCGACUUCGGCAGUGGUGACUUCCAGUACAUUUGUCCUCGUGCUUCUUGCAAGCAGAGAGCAUACACGUGACAUGUUGUUAGUAUCGGUAUUGGUAUCGGAAGUCGAACUUAAACUCUCUAUUAACCUAGUUCCACAUCCCUCUAUAUUUAAUUCACUGUAAUUAAUUGGUAUUUGCGUUUUCUGUAAAGCUUUGUUUGUAGCUGUGGCGUAAACUUGAGUAUGCUGGGCUUGGCUUGAGGUUAUUGGAUGGUUAAAUUUAAGCCAGCCAAUUAAAGAGUCAAAAAGAGCAAAUAUUGUUACAUCCUGCAGAGUAUGCAAAUCGGCGAUUUCAAAAUAUUCCAGGAAUUGCAUUUCAUGAAAUUAGCCGAAAGAUGUGUGCUGUUUCAAUUAACAAGUAGAUUUUACAAAUUAUGCAAAAACUUUGGAUUUUGACCAGUAAAUAAGAAAAUAAGCAUUAACACGCAAACGAGGCUUCAGGUCAUGACCUGGAGCCUCGUUUUCGUG